Molecule: ribosomal RNA, 1415 nt
Filed under: Microbacterium trichothecenolyticum
Lineage: Bacteria; Bacillati; Actinomycetota; Actinomycetes; Micrococcales; Microbacteriaceae
Description: bacterial SSU rRNA
Rfam family: Bacterial small subunit ribosomal RNA
Source: RNAcentral
ACCAUGCAGUCGAACGGUGAAGCCAAGCUUGCUUGGUGGAUCAGUGGCGAACGGGUGAGUAACACGUGAGCAACCUGCCCUGGACUCUGGGAUAAGCGCUGGAAACGGCGUCUAAUACUGGAUAUGAGCUCUCAUCGCAUGGUGGGGGUUGGAAAGAUUUUUCGGUCUGGGAUGGGCUCGCGGCCUAUCAGCUUGUUGGUGAGGUAAUGGCUCACCAAGGCGUCGACGGGUAGCCGGCCUGAGAGGGUGACCGGCCACACUGGGACUGAGACACGGCCCAGACUCCUACGGGAGGCAGCAGUGGGGAAUAUUGCACAAUGGGCGGAAGCCUGAUGCAGCAACGCCGCGUGAGGGAUGACGGCCUUCGGGUUGUAAACCUCUUUUAGCAGGGAAGAAGCGAGAGUGACGGUACCUGCAGAAAAAGCGCCGGCUAACUACGUGCCAGCAGCCGCGGUAAUACGUAGGGCGCAAGCGUUAUCCGGAAUUAUUGGGCGUAAAGAGCUCGUAGGCGGUUUGUCGCGUCUGCUGUGAAAUCCCGAGGCUCAACCUCGGGCCUGCAGUGGGUACGGGCAGACUAGAGUGCGGUAGGGGAGAUUGGAAUUCCUGGUGUAGCGGUGGAAUGCGCAGAUAUCAGGAGGAACACCGAUGGCGAAGGCAGAUCUCUGGGCCGUAACUGACGCUGAGGAGCGAAAGGGUGGGGAGCAAACAGGCUUAGAUACCCUGGUAGUCCACCCCGUAAACGUUGGGAACUAGUUGUGGGGACCAUUCCACGGUUUCCGUGACGCAGCUAACGCAUUAAGUUCCCCGCCUGGGGAGUACGGCCGCAAGGCUAAAACUCAAAGGAAUUGACGGGGACCCGCACAAGCGGCGGAGCAUGCGGAUUAAUUCGAUGCAACGCGAAGAACCUUACCAAGGCUUGACAUACACCAGAACACCGUAGAAAUACGGGACUCUUUGGACACUGGUGAACAGGUGGUGCAUGGUUGUCGUCAGCUCGUGUCGUGAGAUGUUGGGUUAAGUCCCGCAACGAGCGCAACCCUCGUUCUAUGUUGCCAGCACGUAAUGGUGGGAACUCAUGGGAUACUGCCGGGGUCAACUCGGAGGAAGGUGGGGAUGACGUCAAAUCAUCAUGCCCCUUAUGUCUUGGGCUUCACGCAUGCUACAAUGGCCGGUACAAAGGGCUGCAAUACCGUGAGGUGGAGCGAAUCCCAAAAAGCCGGUCCCAGUUCGGAUUGAGGUCUGCAACUCGACCUCAUGAAGUCGGAGUCGCUAGUAAUCGCAGAUCAGCAACGCUGCGGUGAAUACGUUCCCGGGUCUUGUACACACCGCCCGUCAGUCAUGAAAGUCGGUAACACCUGAAGCCGUGGCCCAACCCUUGUGGAGGAGCCGUCGAGUGGGAUCGUAUAGACUAUCUG